Molecule: ribosomal RNA, 482 nt
Filed under: uncultured bacterium
Lineage: Bacteria
Description: partial 16S ribosomal RNA
Rfam family: Bacterial small subunit ribosomal RNA
Source: RNAcentral
GACGAACGCUGGCGGCGUGCUUAACACAUGCAAGUCGAACGAUGAAACCUAGCUUGCUAGGUCGAUUAGUGGCGAACGGGUGAGUAACACGUGACUAACCUGCCCCUUUCUCUGGGAUAACGCUCCGAAAGGAGUGCUAAUACCGGAUACUCACAUCGAGGCACAUGCCUUGAUGUGGAAAGUUUUUGGGAAAGGGAUGGAGUCGCGGCCUAUCAGCUUGUUGGUGAGGUAACGGCUCACCAAGGCGACGACGGGUAGCCGGCCUGAGAGGGCGACCGGCCACACUGGGACUGAGACACGGCCCAAACUCCUACGGGAGGCAGCAGUGGGGAAUAUUGCACAAUGGGCGCAAGCCUGAUGCAGCGACGCCGCGUGAGGGAUGAAGGUCUUCGGAUUGUAAACCUCUUUCAGUAGGGACGAAGCGAAAGUGACGGUACCUAAAGAAGAAGCACCGGCUAACUACGUGCCAGCCGCCGCCGUAA